This 253-nucleotide ribosomal RNA is filed under the name uncultured bacterium. RNAcentral's name for it is "partial 16S ribosomal RNA". It matches the Rfam family "Bacterial small subunit ribosomal RNA", at positions 524 to 776 of the family's 1533-position model. The record is from RNAcentral.
UACAGAGGUCUCAAGCGUUGUUCGGAUUCAUUGGGCGUAAAGGGUGCGUAGGUGGCGCCAUAAGUCAGGUGUGAAAUUUCGGAGCUUAACUCCGAAACUGCAUUUGAUACUGCGGUGCUUGAGGACUGGAGAGGAGACUGGAAUUCACGGUGUAGCAGUGAAAUGCGUAGAUAUCGUGAGGAAGACCAGUGGCGAAGGCGGGUCUCUGGACAGUUCCUGACACUGAGGCACGAAGGCCAGGGGAGCAAACGGG